RNAcentral lists this small RNA (573 nucleotides) under Pan troglodytes (chimpanzee). Its description in RNAcentral is "retained intron". The record is from RNAcentral. Lineage: Eukaryota; Metazoa; Chordata; Mammalia; Primates; Hominidae.
ACGGUGCUUCCGGGUUCUGGGGUAGGAGCGGCGUCUUCUCGCGCGGAUUGUGAAGCUGAAUUUGGUACGCUGGACCCUCGGACAGACAGCAAGAGAGAGACAAGCCCGAGGCCUGACUUCUAGCACUCCUGAGUUUGAGCCCUAUGAGCAGUGGAACCUAGGUGACUGGCCAUGUCAUUGUCCCACUUAUACCGGGAUGGGGAAGGCCGCAUUGAUGAUGAUGAUGACGAGCGGGAGAACUUUGAGAUCACUGACUGGGAUCUCCAGAAUGAGUUCAACCCCAACCGACAGCGCCACUGGCAGACCAAGGAAGAAGCCACCUACGGGGUGUGGGCAGAGCGAGACUCGGAUGAUGAGAGGCCCAGCUUUGGAGGCAAAAGGGCCCGUGACUACUCUGCGCCAGUCAACUUCAUCAGCGCAGGGCUCAAGAAAGGGGCAGCGGAGGAGGCAGAGUUGGAAGAUUCUGAUGACGAAGAGAAACCUGUUAAGCAGGACGACUUUCCUAAGGAUUUUGGACCAAGGAAGCUAAAAACGGUAGAGUCUUUAUUGCAGGAUUGUGACCCUAGGAAUAUC